UGACAAUAUGUGUUUAAUUAAGCUAUAAAGAUCAGAUGAAAUGCAUAGUGAAAUAUGAAAUAAAUGUCUCUUUUGCUGAAAAUUUAAUUAAUCUAUAUAUUUAUUAUUUUAAAAAUCAACUCAUUUUUGCCCAGAGAAAGAGGCGCGCGGCACUAGCGGACAUGGCGUGCUUUUCCAAAAAAAGACGUACAGUAACUUGCAGCUGAACUAUGCACAGUAAUAGGGAUACAAUGAAAAGCCGAUUUUCACUAUUGACCCUGUUUUUAUUCAUUGACGGCUUCCCAACGCCGCUUUUCUGUUGCGCGAAAAAAAGCUGCUGCAAAUAAGCAAAUUUAUGACAAAACAAUUUUAAUAGUUUCAUAGUAGUAGCUGGUGUGCUUCAUCUGCGUGAUUCUGAUUUGACAUUCUUCCGCUAAACUUGCACUGUGUUGAUGUGUAAAUGGACUAUGUGUUGAUGUGUUAAUGGGCUAUGAUCUUUGCUAUUGAGUUCUCUUUGCAACUUUCAAUUUCGAGGUGGGGGAAGUGGGAAGAGGCAAUUCAAAUGUACCAUCUCUAAAAAAAAAGGCCGCUUACGCGGCAUUUGUGUUUAUUAUUACCUUAUUUUUAUUUUAUUAUUAUUAAUUUAUUCAUUCAUUCUUCAUUCAUUUUCUUUUCGGUUUAG
Molecule: non-coding RNA, 661 nt
Organism: Danio rerio (zebrafish)
Lineage: Eukaryota; Metazoa; Chordata; Actinopteri; Cypriniformes; Danionidae
Source: Ensembl